This 52-nucleotide ribosomal RNA is filed under the name Mimosa minarum. RNAcentral describes it as "partial 28S ribosomal RNA". Lineage: Eukaryota; Viridiplantae; Streptophyta; Magnoliopsida; Fabales; Fabaceae. The record is from RNAcentral.
CAGGUCAGGCGGGGCCACCCGCUGAGUUAAGCAUAUCAAAAAGCGAAGGAGA